AACGAACGCUGGCGGCAGGCUUAACACAUGCAAGUCGAGCGCCCCGCAAGGGGAGCGGCAGACGGGUGAGUAACGCGUGGGAACGUACCCUUAUCUUCGGGAUAGCUCCGGGAAACUGGAAUUAAUACCGAAUGUGCCCUUUGGGGGAAAGAUUUAUCGGAUAAGGAUCGGCCCGCGUUGGAUUAGCUAGUUGGUGGGGUAAAGGCCUACCAAGGCGACGAUCCAUAGCUGGUCUGAGAGGAUGAUCAGCCACAUUGGGACUGAGACACGGCCCAAACUCCUACGGGAGGGCGGCGGUGGGAAUAAUGGACCAUUGGGCGAAGGCCUAAUCCGCCCAGGCGGGGGAGGUAAUAAGGGCUUUGGGUUUGAAAGCUCUUUCACCGGAGAAGAUAAUGACGGUAUCCGGAGAAGAAGCCCCGGCUAACUUCGUG
This 431-nucleotide ribosomal RNA is filed under the name uncultured bacterium. Its description in RNAcentral is "partial 16S ribosomal RNA". It matches the Rfam family "Bacterial small subunit ribosomal RNA", at positions 29 to 507 of the family's 1533-position model. The record is from RNAcentral.